GUUCAUCUUUGAAAAUUAAUCAAAGCCCAACCCUUCCUUCUCUCUCAUCGACCGACCUUCACUCUCUUCCUUCUUCGAUUUCCGGCGAAAGUCUCUCCCUCUUCUAACUCUUCUCCUCAAUUCCAUCGAAGACUCUCCAAUCAAGGGUUUGAUUAGGGUUAAGCGUUUCUGAUUUAGAUCCAUUCAGCUACAAUGGAAGCUCCUGAGAAACAAGAAGAGAUCGUCUCUGAUAUGACUGGAAAACUGGCUGGCACUGUCAACUGGGGUACUGCCACGGUCGUUGGAGUAUUGCCCCCAUGUUAUAUGGAUCUAGCAAAGCGGCUUCCGAGUCUGUGACUUUGUUGAGGGAGAAACCUUUGCAUCUCUUAUACAGAGCAAGGAUGCAGAAGUAAUGUUGAAGCUUGGGAGCACUCCGGAUCAAUGUUGUCAAAUAGCGGCUAUAGCGGGGAUAUUGCGCUAUAGCAUAUCAGUUUUUAAUGAAAACGCUAUCGCCACACCGAUACGUAGCAUUUUUCUGUGGCGGCCGCCAUACCCGUGGCGGUCGUGGCGCCAUAGCGCUACCAUAUCCCGCAAUAGCGGUAUUUUAGCCCAAUUUUGACUUUUUGGUGCUAAUUUUGACUUUUAUUGGGUUUUUUAUUUUUUAAUUUAAUUUUGCAUAAGCCCAAUCAGCCCACCCCAAUAAUUCUAACCCCAAUAAUUCUAAACCCUAAUUCCACAACCCCAAUCUGCCGCUUUUCAUCUCUACUCCUUCAGUCCUUCCACAAUCUGCCACCCACCGUCGCGCCGCCGCCGCCACUGUCGCGCCGCCCCCGCCUGUUGCAGCCUAGCCAGCACCCGCCAGCACCCUCCAGCCCCACUCAGUGACUCAACCACCGCCCAGCCAUACAGCCCCUCCUAUUCACAAUCUGCACCUUACAACCCCUCCUAUUCACAAUCAUCCCCACUCAGUGACUCAGCCACCGCCCAGCCACUUGACGCCGCCACCCUCGCGCCGCCGCCGCCGCCACCCUGUACUUAUAGUGAUUUAGUUCCUAAUAAUAUUUAUAAAUAACAAUUAUGUGAUUAAUUAUAUUUAUUUUGUAGAUUCAUACAAAAAAGAGAAAUAGGCUCGAGCAUAAGAGGAUGCAAGAUUUGGUUUAUGUGAAAUAUAACCAAAAAUUGCAUGAUAGGAACAAGCUUAGUGCAACCGAUGAAUUUGAUCCUAUUAUUCUCGAUGAUAUUGAUGAGUGCAAUGAGUGGCUAGUUGGGGAGUUGGAUGAUGAUGAUGAUAUUGAUGGUGGUAAUCAUUUGGUUCAUGAUGACGAUGAUACACUUGAUUGGAACAUGGUGUAUAAGGCUUCGGGUGUUGGAGAGCCUAGGACAUAUACUAGGUCAAAGAAGAGGAAAGAAUCUUCUACAUCUAGUUCAAGUUGUCUUAGAGUUUCUAAGAAAAAAGAAUCUAUCAUACCUAGAAAAGGGAAAGGGAAAAGGAAAAGGCUUGCGCUUGUAGAUGAAGAAUCGGAAGAGGAAGAAUUUGAGGAUAGUGUAAGUGGAGAUCAAGAGGAUGAAGCAAUGGAGGAUGAAGAUGAAAUGGAUGCCGAUGAUAGUGAUGAUGAUGAGCUAGAAGACUAUGUUGAGCUUGAUGAUUGAUGUCUAUUGAGCUUAUCAUGAUUUUAUGUUUUGUUGAACACUUGAACUAAAGACUUUAAUUGCUAGACUUUUAUAUAAUUGUUUUCUAUUUUAUGCUUUAUUACAUGUUUUUAGAGUUUUUAAUGUUAUAUUUUUUUUAUUUUCUAAUUUUUUGAAUUAUAUAUGAAUAUAUAAAUAUUAUUUUAUAUAUUUAAUUAAUGACCGCUAUAUCCCGCCAUACCGAUACGCUAUAUCCCUGUGGCAUUUUUCGGGCGAACCGCCAUGAACCGCUAUACUGCUUUGACAACAUUGCUCUGGAUAAGCGUGAACAGUAUCGACUCAUGAGGGAUGCAAUGGAGAAGAGAUUUAUUACAGUUGCUCGUGGUUCCAUAGUCGGUGGAAUUUGACUGGGGAUGUUCACUGCUGCCUUUUACGGUUUGCAGAAUCUUCUUGCUGAGAAACGAGGUGUAAUUGAUGUUUAUAAUGUAGUUGGAGCUGGUUCUGCUACUGCUUCUACGUUUGGUUUAAUCUUGCCUGGUUCCUUCCGUGGGCGCUUAAGGAAUGCAAUGGUGGGCUCACUUUUGGGUGCAGCUAUCUGCUUCCCACUCGGUUGGCUUCAUUUGAAGCUUGUGGCAAAAGCAAAUGGAGGUAAAUUGACUACUAGGAACGAGGAAGCGAAAGCGGUAUUGCUGCUGCCGUUGAGAGGCUUGAAGGUAACUUGGAAAAGAGGGCCUGAUUGUCUUGCAACGCCGUGAUGUUAGCAGCGGUGCUCUUGAGUGCCCACGUGGAUGGUUUUUCUUUAUCCUAGAAGCAAGGUGGCUAAUUUUGACGUUUUGUCGAACACUCCUUUCCGGGUAAUCAGGUGAAGAAGAGUGAAUAAUAGAGAGAGUGUAGUAGUGUAUUGUAUUUGAGGCGCAUCCUAGCUUUAGACGUGAUGUUAACAGUAUACCUGUACACAUGUUUGAAAUGGAAUGAAUUUUCAUUAUAUCUACAA
Long non-coding RNA from Salvia splendens (bonfire salvia), 2602 nucleotides. RefSeq lists it as uncharacterized. The record is from RefSeq and is a predicted model, not a curated record. Lineage: Eukaryota; Viridiplantae; Streptophyta; Magnoliopsida; Lamiales; Lamiaceae. The transcript has 5 exons.